AGAGUUUGAUCAUGGCUCAGAACGAACGCUGGCGGCGUGCUUAACACAUGCAAGUCGAACGCGAAAGUAGACUUCGGUCUGCGAGUAGAGUGGCGCACGGGUGAGUAACGCGUAAGUAAUCUACCCUUCUAUCUGGGAUAACAGUGGGAAACUGCUGCUAAUACCGGAUACGGUCUUAAUGUCGCGAGACAUUAAGAAGAAAGGUGGCCUCUCCUUGGAAGCUACCGUAGAGGGACGAGCUUGCGUACCAUUAGCUAGUUGGUGGGGUAAUGGCCUACCAAGGCCGCGAUGGUUAGCGGGUCUGAGAGGAUGAUCCGCCACACUGGAACUGAAACACGGACCAGACUCCUACGGGAGGCAGCAGUGAGGAAUAUUGCGCAAUGGGGGAAACCCUGACGCAGCGACGCCGCGUGAGUGAAGAAGGAUUUCGGUUCGUAAAGCUCUGUCAAGUGGGAAGAAAUGUCAUAUAGCUAAUACCUAUAUGAUUUGACGGUACCACUAAAGGAAGCACCGGCUAACUCCGUGCCAGCAGCCGCGGUAAUACGGAGGGUGCAAGCGUUGUUCGGAAUUACUGGGCGUAAAGGGCGCGUAGGCGGCCUAUUAAGUCAGAUGUGAAAGCCCGGGGCUCAACCCCGGUAGGUCACCUGAAACUGGUAGGCUUGAGUAUCGGAGAGGAUAGUGGAAUUCCCGGUGUAGAGGUGAAAUUCGUAGAUAUCGGGAGGGACACCAGUAGCGAAGGCGACUAUCUGGGCGAUACUGACGCUGAGGCGCGAAAGCGUGGGGAGCAAACAGGAUAGAUACCCUGGUAGUCCACAGCUGUAAACGAUGUGCACUAGGUGUAGGAGGUGUUGACCCAUCUGUGCCGCAGCUAACGCAUUAAGUGCACCGCCUGGGGAGUACGGUCGCAAGAUUAAAACUCAAAGGAAUUGACGGGGGCCCGCACAAGCGGUGGAGUAUGUGGUUUAAUUCGACGCAACGCGCAGAACCUUACCUGGACUUGACAUCCCGAGAAUUUUCUAGAAAUAGAAAAGUGCCUCUUCCGAGGAGCUCGGUGACAGGUGCUGCAUGGCUGUCGUCAGCUCGUGUCGUGAGAUGUUGGGUUAAGUCCCGCAACGAGCGCAACCCUCGCCUUUAGUUGCCAGCAUUCAGUUGGGCACUCUAAAGGGACUGCCGGUGUCAAACCGGAGGAAGGUGGGGAUGACGUCAAGUCCUCAUGGCCUUUAUGUCCAGGGCUACACACGUACUACAAUGGCAGGUACAAAGGGCAGCUAACUCGCGAGAGCAAGCGAAUCCCAUAAAACCUGUCUCAGUCCGGAUCGGAGUCUGCAACUCGACUCCGUGAAGUUGGAAUCGCUAGUAAUCGUGGAUCGGCAUGCCACGGUGAAUACGUUCCCGGGCCUUGUACACACCGCCCGUCACACCACGAAAGUCGGUUGUACCAGAAGACGUUGGGCUAACCUUCGGGAAGCAGGCGUCCAAGGUAUGAUCGGUAAUUGGGGUGAAGUCGUAACAAGGUAACCGUA
RNAcentral lists this ribosomal RNA (1523 nucleotides) under uncultured bacterium. RNAcentral describes it as "bacterial SSU rRNA". It matches the Rfam family "Bacterial small subunit ribosomal RNA". The record is from RNAcentral.